UGUGAAGCCUUAAUUAGUGCUGUGCUGU
This 28-nucleotide non-coding RNA is filed under the name Mus musculus (house mouse). The record is from RNAcentral. Lineage: Eukaryota; Metazoa; Chordata; Mammalia; Rodentia; Muridae.